CUACAUUGACCGAAAUCAGCACUUCAUCGGUUCGAACUGUGACGUCAUCGGAACCAGUUACAACUGCGACAAACUUUACUACCCCAGAUUUCAUUGUAACCGAAGUAGAUGGACACCUAACUUCAAUUCUGCCAGCAAAAGUUAGCCAACAUCAGAUGCUGAACCCAGGUGUGACAACUGUUUCGUGACUAGAUUCGAAUCCGGACACAUCGGAUGCGAUGUCUACAAGAACAACGCAUACUACGAUUUUACUUUACGUAGUUUAUUUAAUCAUUUAAAAAUCCGACUAGAACCAGUUAG
This is a long non-coding RNA of Papilio machaon (common yellow swallowtail), 300 nucleotides long. RefSeq lists it as uncharacterized. Lineage: Eukaryota; Metazoa; Arthropoda; Insecta; Lepidoptera; Papilionidae. The transcript has 3 exons. The record is from RefSeq and is a predicted model, not a curated record.